UUUUCCUACGGGGCGCAGCAGUAGGGAAUCUUCCACAAUGGACGAAAGUCUGAUGGAGCAACGCCGCGUGAGUGAAGAAGGGCUUCGGCUCGUAAAGCUCUGUUGGUAGUGGAGAAAGAUAGAGGUAGUAACUGGCCUUUAUUUGACGGUAAUUUCUUAGAAAGUCACGGCUAACUACGUGCCAGCAGCCGCGGUAAUACGUAGGUGGCCAGCGUUGUCCGGUUUUAUUCGGCGUAAAGC
Molecule: ribosomal RNA, 240 nt
Filed under: uncultured bacterium
Lineage: Bacteria
Description: partial 16S ribosomal RNA
Rfam family: Bacterial small subunit ribosomal RNA
Source: RNAcentral